Molecule: long non-coding RNA, 561 nt
Filed under: Salmo salar (Atlantic salmon)
Lineage: Eukaryota; Metazoa; Chordata; Actinopteri; Salmoniformes; Salmonidae
Description: lncRNA (ENSSSAG00000117154.1)
Source: RNAcentral
GGGAAAAUACUGCUACACUCAGAGCCUAUUAUUGAGCCAACAGGGAGCUACCCUAAUGGAAAUUACUGCCCUCUGGGUACUGCGUAUCCUUACACGUCCCAAUGCCAGUCUGACUUCUACAGGAACAUGGGGAUGAGGGGGGAUGUGUGUACCAUGUCCAGCCAGGUACGACUGUGCCAGUCCAGGAACAUCCACACCCACUGUCUGCCCACAGACCCCAACUGAUGGACCAAUUGGAGGCUUGUGUCCAGCAGGAAGUUACUGCCCCUCUGGCUCUCCCUAUGUCUCCCCCUGCCACGAAGGCAAUUUUAGCAACAGCACUGGCCUCCGCACCUCCCAGCAGUGUGUUGACUGCCCAGCUGGGUCCUAUUGUUUAGGUUAAAAUAAUACCUCUCCAACUGGCCUGUGCUCUGCUGGUUUCUACUGUACGGGUGGCUCUGUAUCGCCUGCUCAGAAUGAGGCUGAGGAGGGUCAGUAUACCCUGAGCCAUGUCCCAUUGGCACUUUCCAACCGGUACAGUACAUGUAGUGCACGAUGUAGGGGAGGGAUCAUCAACUAGCC